RNAcentral lists this ribosomal RNA (468 nucleotides) under uncultured bacterium. Its description in RNAcentral is "partial 16S ribosomal RNA". It matches the Rfam family "Bacterial small subunit ribosomal RNA", at positions 28 to 507 of the family's 1533-position model. The record is from RNAcentral.
GACGAACGCUGGCGGCGUGCUUAACACAUGCAAGUCGAACGGAAAGGCCCUGCUUUUGUGGGGUGCUCGAGUGGCGAACGGGUGAGUAACACGUGAGUAACCUGCCCUUGACUUUGGGAUAACUUCAGGAAACUGGGGCUAAUACCGGAUAGGAGCUCCUGCUGCAUGGUGGGGGUUGGAAAGUUUCGGCGGUUGGGGAUGGACUCGCGGCUUAUCAGCUUGUUGGUGGGGUAGUGGCAUACCAAGGCUUUGACGGGUAGCCGGCCUGAGAGGGUGACCGGCCACAUUGGGACUGAGCUACGGCCCAGACUCCUACGGGAGGCAGCAGUGGGGAAUAUUGCACAAUGGGCGGAAGCCUGAUGCAGCAACGCCGCGUGCGGGAUGACGGCCUUCGGGUUGUAAACCGCUUUCGCCUGUGACGAAGCGUGAGUGACGGUAAUGGGUAAAGAAGCACCGGCUAACUACGUG